GACGAACGCUGGCGGCGUGCUUAACACAUGCAAGUCGAACGGAAAGGCCCUGCUUGCAGGGUACUCGAGUGGCGAACGGGUGAGUAACACGUGGGUGAUCUGCCCUGCACUUCGGGAUAAGCCAGGGAAACUGGGUCUAAUACCGGAUAGGAGCCAUAUUUAGUGUGAUGGUUGGAAAGUUUUUUCGGUGUAGGAUGAGCUCGCGGCCUAUCAGCUUGUUGGUGGGGUAAUGGCCUACCAAGGCGGCGACGGGUAGCCGGCCUGAGAGGGUGGACGGCCACCUUGGGACUGAGGUACGGCCCAGACGCCUACGGGAGGCAGCAGUGGGGAAUCUUGCGCAAUGGGCGCAAGCCUGAUGCAGCGGCGCCGCGUGGGUGAUGACGGCCUUCGGGUUGUAAACUACUGUCGCUGGGGACGAAGCUUUUUGGGCCGGUACCGAGAUAAGAGGCACCGCCAACCUACGG
Molecule: ribosomal RNA, 464 nt
Filed under: uncultured bacterium
Lineage: Bacteria
Description: partial 16S ribosomal RNA
Rfam family: Bacterial small subunit ribosomal RNA
Source: RNAcentral